GGAGUUGUGGCUCAGUGGUAGAGCACUCACCUAGCAAAUGCGAGACCCUGGGUUCAAUCCUUAGCACCA
RNAcentral lists this transfer RNA (69 nucleotides) under Ictidomys tridecemlineatus (thirteen-lined ground squirrel). RNAcentral describes it as "Spermophilus tridecemlineatus (thirteen-lined ground squirrel) tRNA". It matches the Rfam family "tRNA". From Rfam's summary of the family: Transfer RNA (tRNA) molecules are approximately 80 nucleotides in length. Their secondary structure includes four short double-helical elements and three loops (D, anti-codon, and T loops). Lineage: Eukaryota; Metazoa; Chordata; Mammalia; Rodentia; Sciuridae. The record is from Rfam by way of RNAcentral.